GCUGGGUGUGGUGGCGCACACCUGUAGUCUCGGCUACUGGAGAGGCUGAAGCAAGAGACUCACUUGAACCCAGGAGUUCGAGGCUGCAGUGAGCUAUGAUCGCACCACUGCGUUCCAGCCUGAGUGACAGAGCAAGACCCUGCCUCUU
Unclassified non-coding RNA from Papio anubis (olive baboon), 148 nucleotides. It matches the Rfam family "Metazoan signal recognition particle RNA". From Rfam's summary of the family: The signal recognition particle (SRP) is a universally conserved ribonucleoprotein. It is involved in the co-translational targeting of proteins to membranes. NCBI's taxonomy places the organism in Eukaryota, Metazoa, Chordata, Mammalia, Primates, Cercopithecidae. The record is from Ensembl.